RNAcentral lists this ribosomal RNA (719 nucleotides) under Streptomyces tauricus. RNAcentral describes it as "bacterial SSU rRNA". It matches the Rfam family "Bacterial small subunit ribosomal RNA", at positions 66 to 803 of the family's 1533-position model. Lineage: Bacteria; Bacillati; Actinomycetota; Actinomycetes; Kitasatosporales; Streptomycetaceae. The record is from RNAcentral.
ACGAUGAGCCUUUCGGGGUGGAUUAGUGGCGAACGGGUGAGUAACACGUGGGCAAUCUGCCCUUCACUCUGGGACAAGCCCUGGAAACGGGGUCUAAUACCGGAUAAUACUUCUGCCUGCAUGGGUGGGGGUUGAAAGCUCCGGCGGUGAAGGAUGAGCCCGCGGCCUAUCAGCUUGUUGGUGAGGUAGUGGCUCACCAAGGCGACGACGGGUAGCCGGCCUGAGAGGGCGACCGGCCACACUGGGACUGAGACACGGCCCAGACUCCUACGGGAGGCAGCAGUGGGGAAUAUUGCACAAUGGGCGAAAGCCUGAUGCAGCGACGCCGCGUGAGGGAUGACGGCCUUCGGGUUGUAAACCUCUUUCAGCAGGGAAGAAGCGCAAGUGACGGUACCUGCAGAAGAAGCGCCGGCUAACUACGUGCCAGCAGCCGCGGUAAUACGUAGGGCGCAAGCGUUGUCCGGAAUUAUUGGGCGUAAAGAGCUCGUAGGCGGCUUGUCGCGUCGGUUGUGAAAGCCCGGGGCUUAACCCCGGGUCUGCAGUCGAUACGGGCAGGCUAGAGUGUGGUAGGGGAGAUCGGAAUUCCUGGUGUAGCGGUGAAAUGCGCAGAUAUCAGGAGGAACACCGGUGGCGAAGGCGGAUCUCUGGGCCAUUACUGACGCUGAGGAGCGAAAGCGUGGGGAGCGAACAGGAUUAGAUACCCUGGUAGUCCACGCCGU